This 384-nucleotide unclassified non-coding RNA is filed under the name uncultured Phycisphaeraceae bacterium. Its description in RNAcentral is "contains 16S-23S intergenic spacer region". The record is from RNAcentral. Lineage: Bacteria; Pseudomonadati; Planctomycetota; Phycisphaerae; Phycisphaerales; Phycisphaeraceae.
UCCGGUUUGACACCGGCAGUCUCGCUAGAGUCCUCGCCAUGACGCGUUAGCAACUAGAGAUAGGGGUUUCGCUCGUUAAGGGACUUAACCCGACACUUCACAGCACGAGCUGACGACAGCCAUGCAGCACCUGUGUAUGUUGUACCCGAAGGCCUCAGCCGUGUUUCCACGACCUAAUCCAUACAUGUCAAGCCCAGGAUAAGGUUCUUCGCGUUGCUUCGAAUUGAGCCACAUGCUCCACCGCUUGUGUGAGCCCCCGUCAAUUCCUUUGAGUUUUAGCCUUGCGACCGUACUCCCCAGGCGGUGCACUUAGCAUUUUAACUUCGACCAUGGGGGCGUCAGAGCCUCCACGAUCUAGUGCACAUCGUUUAGGGCGUGGACUAC